This 253-nucleotide ribosomal RNA is filed under the name uncultured bacterium. Its description in RNAcentral is "partial 16S ribosomal RNA". It matches the Rfam family "Bacterial small subunit ribosomal RNA", at positions 524 to 776 of the family's 1533-position model. The record is from RNAcentral.
UACGUAGGUGGCGAGCGUUGUCCGGAUUUACUGGGCGUAAAGCGCGCGCAGGCGGACUGAUCAGUCUGGGGUGAAAUCUCACGGCUCAACUGUGAGCGGUCCCUGGAUACUGUCAGUCUUGAGAUGUCUAGAGGAGAGCGGAAUUCCGGGUGUAGCGGUGGAAUGCGUAGAGAUCCGGAAGAACACCGGUGGCGAAGGCGGCCUGCUGGGCAGUUGCUGAUACUGAGGCGCGACAGCGUGGGGAGCAAACAGG